GACGAACGCUGGCGGCGUGCUUAACACAUGCAAGUCGAACGGAAAGGCCCUGCUUUUGUGGGGUGCCCGUGUGGCGAACGGGUGAGUAACCAGUGAGUAACCCGCCCUUUACUUUGGGAUAACUUUCGGAAACUGGGGCCAAAACCCGAUAGAUGCUCCUGCCCCACUGGGGGGGUUGGAAAGUAUCGGCGGUUGGGGAUGGAUUCGCGGCUUAUCAGCUUGUUGGUUGGGUAGUGGCUUACCAAGGUUUUGACGGGUAGCCGGCACGGGAGCGUGACCGGCCACAAGGGUCCUGAGAUACGCAGCAGAAGGGAACGUGAGGCAGCGGGGGGGAGUAUUGCACAGUGGGGGGGAGCCAGAUGCGACGGCGCUGCGUGCGGAAUGCCGGGCUUCGGGUUGUAAACCGCUGUCGCCUUAAACGUGGCGUGAGUGACGGUAAUGAGUAAAAAAGCACCGGCUAACUACGUG
Molecule: ribosomal RNA, 468 nt
Filed under: uncultured bacterium
Lineage: Bacteria
Description: partial 16S ribosomal RNA
Rfam family: Bacterial small subunit ribosomal RNA
Source: RNAcentral